CAACAAGAACGGCGAAAGAAGGGAUCCGCAGCAACAACGUUGCGCCGCCGCUCCGCCCGUGCGCUCCCCACCCCCGAUCCGCCCCGAGCCAACCAGGCCUCCAAACGCCGCCGUCGAGCUCCUCUGCCGGACACCAUGGCCAUGGACUAAAGCUCCGCCGGACCUUCCCUCGCGAGUGCCGGCCCUCCUCCCGACUAAAUCGGCGACGGCGACGACCGGUGAUGAACACAUGCCUACCCCCUUCUUAAUUCUCCCGGGCAGUCUGUGAUGCAGAUGCCGCCGCUGCCAUUCUUCCGCACAGCCGAGGACGCGAAAGUCGUUGUUGUCUGCAACUCAGCCGCCUCCAAUCUGUUGCCCUGCGAAGUUGAGGAGGGUUUGUUGUCCGGACAUCGCAUCCUCCUGCUUGUCCUCUACCACAGGGUCGUUGCCAUCUUCAGUCACCACGGCCACCUCUGCCUUGUCCUCUACCACGGGUUCAGUAGGGGCAUACCACCGCAUGUCCUCUUCACAUGAUAGGUACAGACUUGGCUAAGCAAUUUUAUGUCAAACUGCACAUAAAUAUGAUUAAGUCCUUGUUGUAUUUUUACUGGUAGGGAGAGCAGGGGAAAAGUCUUGUGGAUACAUAUAUGAAUGCCCGCCAGAAGAAGAGAAAGGUGUUUGGCUGCAAAUCAGUUUUAUGUCAAACUGCACAUAAAUAUGAUCAAGUACUUGUUGUCUUUUUACUGGCAGGGAGAGCAGGAGAAAGUGUUGUGGAUACAUAUAUGAAUGCCCGCCAGAAGAAGAGAGAGGUGUUUGGCUGCAAGUAAUUGUGUUCGUAGGCUGUCCAUAUCACCGGCACUAAGGGGAAAUGUUCGACUGCCACGUUCCUGUCUAAUAUCAUGAGGGAGCAAGCAUAAACUGUGGGCUGCUAUUCCAGGUAUUCCACCAUAUCACCAAGCUCCGUGUAUCAUUUAAUCCAUUUGGUAGUAACUAUUAGACGACAUGAUCAUGGAAAUUGUAUGGUGCUGAUGUUUAUGCAGUCCACACCUUUUAACAAUCCGAGAGCGCAUCACCUGUUUCAGCUGCAUCUUUGAGGGAUCUUUUUGAUCUGGCAAAAGGAAGCUAUUGAUGAAUCAAUCGAAUAUUUUCAAAGAUAUUUUUAGGUUGCAAGGUUGGUAUUUUGCUUUAAUAAAAUGCUGAUGAUGCGUACUCAGAUAUUUUUUUGUAUGUCCCCGAAUGGGAGCCUAUACAAUACCAAUAAACGAUAAGCAUAACAAGAAAAAUAGAAAGGUACUAUCGAAUGGGAGCCUAAUUUCUUGUUUCAGUAUUGUCUGCAGCUUUGUUUCAGGAAGAUUCAAUUCUGUAAUUUUUUUAUGUCGCAUUUGAAGGUGUCGGCAAGUAAGCGGCUCUACAUCUUGCCAAUUCCAUUUCUAAUAGGCAUGAACCCCCUGUGUUCUGGACAACUAAGGUUACAUGCAUGUGUUCAUAUCAUAAUCAUG
Triticum aestivum (bread wheat) is the source of this 1478-nucleotide long non-coding RNA. RefSeq lists it as uncharacterized. The record is from RefSeq and is a predicted model, not a curated record. The transcript is spliced from 2 exons. NCBI's taxonomy places the organism in Eukaryota, Viridiplantae, Streptophyta, Magnoliopsida, Poales, Poaceae.